Molecule: long non-coding RNA, 1658 nt
Organism: Anas platyrhynchos (mallard)
Lineage: Eukaryota; Metazoa; Chordata; Aves; Anseriformes; Anatidae
Source: RefSeq, a predicted model, not a curated record
GAAAACAGUUGUGGCAGUGGUUGAGGGGGUUAUUAGAAGACAUAAUUGCUUCAACUAUUGUUUUAAACAUUACUUUUUUUCUUCUUCCUGCGCAUUUUGUCCUCAUUACAGCUAUCUAUUACAGAUUCCAUACCCUGCAACACAAGACUUCAAACUGAUAAAAUUGAUUCUAACUACUACAUUUUUCUACUGAAGUGGAGUUCAGGAAGCCUUUUUGAACAGAAAUCAUUUCCAUCUGCGAGAAGCUUCACCUACUGACAUCGUGGCUCUGAUAUUGAAGGAAUGAGACCUCAGGAGGAAUGACAAGACACACUUCUCUUGUGAUGAAGCAGGACUCGUCAUUCACUUUGUGAAUACUAGGACCUUGAGUUUCUGGCUCCUUGGAGCCUGGUGUAUGGCCUCACCUACUAUUCUAUAUAUUCCCACUGAUUCCUAUAUUCAAUAUAUUAAACCAGCUGGAAUCUAUCCAGCUGGUUUAAACACCCACAACUGUCUCUGAGGGAAGGCCUGAUUUUGUAUCCACACUUCCCCCCUCACAACACCAUUGCUACCAUGGUUUCUCAAUAUUUCUUUUCUCUUUGACUUUGUAUAAAAUUUCUAUAGUGACAGUAACAAAAAACAGGAACAUUUUCUAAAAAUACACUAGGUAUUUCUUUAUGUAAUGGACUUCUGGACAGCAUUUAGAUCCUUGCAGUGGCUGAGAACAUACAUCUCCAGGGCCUCUGUAACUUUCUGCAAGGAUCUGUACAUAGUGAUAAAUAGCAUUAUGUAAAUUAGACUUGCUGUGCUUGACUCCUGUAAAAUAUGCCAUUCCUAUAAAAAGCACUUUUGAAAGGAGACAGAAAACAAAGCUCAAGGGAUGAUAUUGUACUUCCUUGGUGUUUUUCAGACUAUGAUAUAUAUGUAUAUGUAUUCUUAAUGCAGAAGUUUUAUGCUAAGCUCCCUUUGUUGGCUCACUCAGAGUCUGCCUUCUGCGAGAUGUGUGGGCAGGCAGGUGGCUGCCAGCCUGUACUGUGCAUGGGGUGGCCCCUGUUGGCUCUAGGGAUGUAGCUGUGUUUCUGCAUAGCGACUGGUCAAAGGGUUGCUGCAGUUUGCGGCAAUAGAUGCUCCCCCUAAAUGUCUUCCUCAGGAUCAGAUUGAAAACAUUUGGAGAUCAGAAUUUUUUUUGUUGUUGCUGUUGUUGUUGUUGCUGUUGUUUUUCCCCCAUGCUAUAAUGACAAGUCCGUUCAUUCCUUGUCAGAUACAUCUUUUUAAUUCAGAUGCAUUACACAGUCUUUUCAAAUCUCUGCUGAGGUAAUCUUUUUUUGUAUUUUUUUUUUUCCUGUCCCUCAACAAAAGAGUUCAGAGCUCUUCUAAUUGCAAAUGACCUUGAAAGGUUCUCCCUAGACAAUGAAGGGACAAAUUAAAAUGCAGCCUUCAUGACAUUUUCUGCUGACUUCUCUUGUGCUCAGAAUUCAAAUAUUUUCAUUUAUUUAUGUAAUUUAUAUAUAUAUGUUUGUUAUAGUGAAGAAUAAUAAUAGUAUCUCAUUGUUUUGUUUGUUUGUUUGAAAGUUAACAGUGAAUGAAAACUCCUACUUUAAGGAAAUCACUGAUAAAGAAUGAGGAACUGCCAUUAAAAUUUAUUUAAACAAAAUGUAAAAAUGUUUUGCUUUUUUUCU